AAAUUUCAAGCUUCGAUUUAGUCGAUUGCAUGUGAAUUUAGUCAAUAGGACUUAUGUGCGACAUUUUUGAAAUGUGAUAGGUCGAAGCAUAAGGACCUAUUAGAGCAUGAAAUAAAAAGGGGGGACUUGCAUGUCAAAUUCCCCCCCUAACUAGUAGUGGCCGGCCAUGACAAGCAUGGUAGACCAAGUGUGAUGGGAAGGACAUGUCAUAGACAUGUUGUGUUGGUGCAUCAUGGGUGGAAAAAAAUAAAAUAAGGAGCAUGGGCAUAAAAUAAUGAAAGGGAAUAUGAUGGAAACAAAAAAAAAAUGUGUGUGGUUGUCUCCCCCCCCCCAUUGCCGUGAGUUAAAGAAAAGAAAGGAGAAAAUUUUGUUCAUCCUUUUUCAUCUUCAUUUGGCCGAAAAUUCUAAGGAAGGAGGAAGGAGUUCUUGCUCCAUGUUUGAUUUGGAAGAGGAUUAGGAGGAGGUUUGGCCAUACUUAUAUCUAGAUUAAGGUAUGUUUGAGGUUGUGCCAUGAGAUUCAUGCAUGUUUUUAGUUGCUAGCUUGAGUUCUAAUUAGCCCAUGGUUCAAAUCUUUGCUAUGUCAUGGGGAUGAUAUUCGGCCUAGGUGGAUUUUGUGUUAAUGCCAUUGCAUGCUAAAUAUGAAGCUUGUUAAUGAUGCAUGUGAUGGUGGAUUGAUGAUUCUUGAAUCUCCUUUUUAGCAUUUUUGAGUGAGCACAUAUGUGCAUUGGUUGCUAGAUGGGGAAGAAUCGGCUAGCAAGUUGUGUGCUAAGGUCGAAUAUAACUUUUGUAUGUUAAUGAGCAAUGCAUGUGUUAAAUUGAUGGAAAGGGAGAGGAUGCUUUACUAGUGUAUAUAUGUGUGUAUUAGCCAAGUUUUGAACUUGAAAUAAAAGGGUGUUUAGUCAAUACAAGUGACCAUACUUGUAGAAUGUAUUAAGUGUUGAAAUCGGCCCCAACAUAGACAUGCAUAUUCAGCCAUAGGAAGGAGAUUGGUGUUGCAUGUAUUCGGUUAGAGGCAAGCAUAUUGAUGCUUUUGUCUUGGCUUAGAAAAUUCGACCAAGGGGGAAAAAUUAGCUAAAAUGUUGAGUUUGAUUCAUGAUUCCGUACAUAUGUGACUUUAAUGUCUAAUGUAUAAAAAUGGGCUAAGUGCCUUGUGUUCCUCUUUCCGAUGCUCAAAUGAUUAAAUCAAUUUAUUUGUUUAAUUAAGCUCAAGAGCAAAGGGGAACUAAAUCCGAUAAAGGGAAGGAAAAAGUGGUCGAAUAGCUAUCGGAAUCGUUCGACAACACCCGAGGUAAGUUCUUGAGUAAGAGAGCUUAAAUUAAGAUUUGAUUAGAUCAUGUUUUAAGCAAAUCAAAAUCAUGCUCUUUGUGUGUGGCUAUUGAGCCGAAAUUGCAAGAAUGAUAAGUGUCUUGUGUUUGAGUUUUGCUAACGAAAAUGAAAUACGAAUGUGCCAUGAUUUAUUGUUAAAUGUGCAUGGUUAUUUGAAUGAUGUCCGGGCUAAGUCCCGAAGGCUUUGUGCUAAGUGACCAUAUCCGGACUAAGAUCCGAAGGCAUUUGUGCGAGAUACUAAUUCUGGGCUAAGCCCGAAGGCAUUGGUGCGAGUUACUAAAUCCGGGUUAAGUCCCGAAGGCAUUUGUGCUAGUUACUAAAUCCGGGUUAAGUCCCGAAGGCAUUUGUGCGAGUUACUAUAACCGGGCUAUGUCCCGAAGGCAUUUGAACGAGGAGCUAUAUCCGGUUAAAUUCCGAAGGUACGUGACUUGGGAAUGAAUGAUUUUGCUGUAAAAAUUUCAGUUAAUACUCUAGAAACAUCCCAACAUUGAGGUAUGUUUCGUAUGUGCUUGAAUUUAGUUGAGCCCUUACAAAUAAGUAUCCGCUCAGUUGAUAAACGAGCUACCGGCCUUUGGCUAAGUUGAUCUUUUGUGUAUGUACAUAAGGGUUGGUAAUGUGAAGCAAGUAUGAUAUCGAAAAUUUGUGCAUAUGAAAUUAUCCGUUUAGCUAUAUGAAUGCUAUACUUUUGUUGUGCUGGAAUUCCUUGCUCAAAACUUACUAAGCAUAAAUUGCUUACUCCGUUUCAUUGCUCCUCUGUUUUAUAGAUUUUGGUUCUCCAGCUAUCGGACUCGGGAUCUGGAAGUCGAAGUCGCCCACACUAUCAAAGCCCCCUUUUGGUACAAUUUUGGUUGAACUUCGAAAUGGCAUGUAUAGGACUACCCGUUUGUUGUGGGUCAUGGACCCUUUGGACUUGUAUAAUUUUGGAUAGCCAUGCGAAAAUGGCUUAUAUAUGUUUGAGUGUAAUGUUAUAAUCAUUUGGUAUGGAUAUGGUUAUUGAGAGGUGUGGAUAGGCUUGACAAGGAUUGGCCAUGGGAAUGGUUAAUCACUAUCAUAAAUUGUGCUACUUAUGCAAAAAGGGCUAGUUGAAUCAUGGAAACUAUGAAAUAGGUAAAGUCUACCUUAAAGGCAGAUGCUGACAGCAGCAGUGAUGUAGAUUUGAAAAUUCACUAAAUAUAGUAGGAAUGGAAUUAAAUAGUGAAUAAAUUAUGUAAACGAACCUUGAUUAAUCUAUUUUCAUAGGAAAGUAACGAAACAAUCAUACGGACAGUAUGUUAAGAGAUAUUCAGGUUCUCGUAAGACAGGGCCAGAACGGUUUCUGGAUUUCCUGUUCCGACUUUGGAAAUUCAUUAUAAAUUAACCAGAGACAAUUAGGAGUCAAGCCAUAUAUGUAUAGAUUCCUCUCUGAGUAUAGUUUCUAUAUAAUCAAACAAAAUCAGUAUUGAAGCCCUGUACAGGGAGAUAUCCAAGUCGUAAUGCGCAAAGGUCAGGGUAGUCGAUCCCUGUAACAUGGGAGACUUUGACUAAUAAACUGUACUAAUUUGCCCAACCAAAAAUUCUAGAAAAAAAUAUGUAGAUGGACAUAUGAGUCUAGUUUCAUGGAAAAUUUAUGGAACUGGAUUCCAAGUUUCUGAACUCAAGAUAUGAUUUUUAAAGAAACUAUUACGCAGAUUGGCAGUGUCUGGAAAAUUUUUUAAAGUUUGUUAACACCUCGUGUUCGACUCCGGUGACGGUCUCGGGUUCGGGGUGUUACAUUUGAUUGGUAUCAGUGCUAUGGUUUAGUCGAUUCUAGGACUACCGUAAUGCGUUGGGUCUACCUAUACAUGCCAUUUUAUGUGAUUAUUUGAUAGUGUGGUGAUUUCUGACAUUUGCAAAUGUGUUUAUUUAUAGUAAUGGAUCCCGAUCCCGACCGAGCGGUAGCUGAUGAUCUUGAGAGUGUAGCACCUGCUCCCGCACAAGGGACAGUGCCGGUGAACUCUCAACCUAAUGCUAGUAACCCGAAUGAUGAAGCUAGACAAGCUUUCUAUAGCGUGAUGAAUGAUUGGUUCAACCAAUACAUUCGAACUAAUACGGCUGUUCCACAACCUCCCUUCCCGACUAAUACAACUCCCGCACCUACAAUACCUCCGGUAACUGACCAAAUAAGGUCAAAUAAGCCCCCAGUUGACAGAAUUUGAAAACAUGGGGCUACCGAAUUUAAAGCUACGGAUAGCGACGAUGCCGAACAAGCUGAAUUUUGGUUGGACAACACUAUCCGGGUACUCGAUGAACUAUCUUGUACACCCGAUGAAUGCUUAAAGUGUACUAUCUCCUUGCUACGUGAUUCUGCCUACUAUUGGUGGAGUACUCUGACUUCUGUCGUGCCCCGAGAGUAAGUAACUUGGGAGUUUUUCCAAACUGAGUUUCGGAAAAAUUAUAUCAGUCAGAGAUUUGUUGAUCAAAAACAGAAGGAAUUUCUUGAGCUUAAGCAAGGUUCCAUGUCGGUUACUGAUUAUGAGCGAAAAUUUGUUAGACUUAGUAGAUACGCUUGGGAAUGUGUUUCGUCCGAGGCUAUCAUGUGUAGACGCUUCGAGGAUGGGCUGAAUGAAGAUAUAAAAAUGUUCGUUGGCAUUCUUGAAAUACGAGAGUUCGUAGUACUUGUCGAGCGAGCUUGUAAAGUCGAAGAGCUUAGAAAAGAAAAACAAAAAGUUGAUGUGGGAACUGGAGAGUUUCGUAAAAGAUCUUCGGGAAAGUCUCUUCAACAGGCAUCGAAGAAAUUUCGAGAUGAUGUGGGCUGGUCGAGAGGCACUUCGGGCCUUUUUAGACGAGAUCAUGAUCGACCCCUUGUGGGUACACGAGGCACUUCGGUCGCCAGUGUUGGGAAUGAACGUCGAGACAGAACGAAAUGUCGAUAUUAUGGUAAAUGGCAUUCGGGGAGUUGUAGAUUCCCUGACCGCUCCUGUUACAAGUGCGGAUCAGUUGACCACUUCAUUAAAGAUUGCCCGAGGUUGUCUGAACAGAAUGUAAAUCAGAGUGGGAAACCGGGUGCUACCACUGCUCGAGGUAGACCAUCUGGAAAUAUGGGCAAUGCUGGUGGUGGUCAGAGAGGAUCUAGAGAUGCUACGACCAGAUCCGAGGCUCGUGCGCCUGCUAGAGCUUAUGCUAUACGUGCCCGCGAGGAUGCUUCUUCGCCUGAUGUUAUUACCGGUACUUUUACUCACUUUGAUACUAAUGUAAUUGCUUUGAUUGACCCCGGUUCUACUCAUUCUUACAUAUGUGAAACCUUAGCAUCCAGUAAGACUUUACCUAUUGAGUCUACUGAGUUCGUAAUUCGGGUGUCAAAUCCCUUGGGUCGUUACGUGCUUGUCGACAAAGUGUGUAAGAAAUGUCCCCUAGAAAUUCGAGGUUCCUGUUUUCCGGCGGACUUGAUGCUUUUGCCGUUUGAUGAAUUUGAUGUUAUUCUUGGUUUGGAUUGGUUGACCGCGCAUGAUGCGGUUGUGAAUUGCAAAAGCAAGACUAUUGAUUUGAGGUGCGCAAAUAACGAAGUAAUCCGAGUUGAGUCUACGGACUUGGAGGGGAUGCCAGCUGUAAUAUCAGCAAUGUUGGCCAAGAAAUAUGUAAGAAAAGGGUGCGAAGCAUACCUUGCGUAUGUACUUGAUGACAAAAAAUUAGAAAAGAAACCCGAAUCUGUGCCGGUGGUUUGUGAAUACCCGGAUGUUUUUCCUGAAGAAUUACCGGGUUUACCACCUGUUCGGGAGGUAGAGUUUGGUAUUGAGCUUGUACAUGGGACUACGCCGAUUUCGAUAGCUCCGUAUCGUAUGGCACCAACCGAGUUAAAAGAGUUGAAAGCUCAGUUGCAAGAAUUGACGGAUAGAGAUUUUGCUCGACCAAGUUUCUCACCUUGGGGUGCACCAGUAUUGUUCGUUAAAAAGAAGGACGGAACCAUGAGGUUGUGCAUUGACUAUCGUCAACUGAAUAAAGUGACGAUAAAGAACAAAUAUCCGUUACCGCGUAUCGAUGAUUUGUUCGACCAACUAAAGGGAGCCUCAGUGUUCUCAAAAAUAGAUUUGAGAUCGGGCUAUUAUCAGUUGCGAAUUCAAGAUUCGGACAUACCCAAAACUGCCUUCAGAACGAGAUAUGGUCACUACGAGUUCUUAGUGAUGCCGUUUGGGCUCACUAAUGCCCCUGCGAUAUUUAUGGAUUUGAUGAAUCGGAUCUUCAGACCAUAUUUGGAUCGGUUCGUAGUUGUGUUCAUUGAUGACAUCUUGGUCUAUUCGAGAGAUGAGACCGAACAUGCUGAGCACUUGAGACUAGUGUUGCAAAUUUUGCGGGAUAAGUAGUUAUAUGCUAAGUUCAGUAAGUGUGAGUUCUGGUUAAGAGAGGUUAGCUUCUUGGGUCAUGUGGUAUCCGCAUCGGGUAUUCGAGUUGACCCGAGCAAAAUUUUAGCCAUACUUAACUGGAAGCCUCCAAGAAAUAUUACCGAAGUUCGGAGCUUCCUGGGGCUCACCGGUUAUUACCGACGAUUUGUGAAAGGUUUCUCGAUGAUAGCCACACCAAUGACGAAGCUACUUCAAAAGGAUGUUAAGUUCGAAUGGACGGAGAAAUGUCAGAAAAGUUUUGAUCAGCUAAAAACUUAUUUGACUGAAGCUCCAAUUUUAGUGCAACCCGAAUCAGGCAAAGAGUUUGUCAUUUAUAGUGACGCAUCCCUACUUGGGUUGGGUUGCGUAUUGAUGCAAGAAGGUCGAGUGGUGGCCUAUGCGUCGAGACAAUUAAAGCCACAUGAGAAAAAUUAUCCGACCCAUGAUCUUGAACUAGCUGCCAUCGUAUUUGCUUUAAAAAUAUGGCGACAUUACUUAUUUGGUGAAAAGUGCCAUGUAUUUUCGGAUCACAAAAGUCUCAAAUAUUUGAUGACUCAAAGAGACUUAAAUCUGCGACAAAGACGUUGGCUUGAGUUGUUGAAAGAUUAUGAGCUUGUCAUUGAUUACCACCCGGGAAAGGCUAAUGUGGUUGCGGACGCCUUAAGCCGGAAAUCAUUGUUUGCUUUACGAGCGAUGAAUGUGCACUUGUCUGUUCUAGCCGACAAUGUGUUAGUAGCUGAAUUAAAAGCCAGACCAUUAUUGAUUCAUCAAAUUCGUGAAGCUCAGAAAGUUGAUGAUGAAUUGGUUGCAAAACGGGCUGAGUGUGUUCCGAACAAGGAAUCGGAGUUUCAAAUUGAUGAUGGUGAUUGUUUAAGGUUCAGAAGUCGUUUGUGUGUUCCAAGGAAUUCGGAACUCAUUUCGAUGAUUUUGAACGAAGCCCAUUGUAGCCGAAUGUCAAUUCACCCGGGGAGUACGAAAAUGUACAACGAUUUGAAACGUCAAUUUUGGUGGCAUGGUAUGAAACGAGACAUCUCCGACUUUGUUUCGAGAUGUUUAAUAUGUCAACAAGUGAAAGCGGAACAUCAAGUGCUUUCAGGAUUACUUCAGCCGUUCAUGAUACCCGAGUGGAAAUAGGAUCGAGUCACAAUGGACUUUGUGUCCGGACUGCCAUUGUCAGCAAGUAAGAAGGAUGUGAUUUGGGUUGUUGUUGAUAGACUGACUAAGUCGGCUCACUUUAUCCCCGUGCGUACGGAUUUUUCAUUGGAUAAACUAGCUGAAUUGUAUGUUUCUCAAAUUGUGAGAUUACACGGGGUACCUAUUUCUAUCGUGUCGAAUAGAGAUCCGAGAUUCACCUCACGGUUUUGGAAGAAAUUGCAAGAAGCUUUGGGUACCAAGCUGCAUUUUAGCACUGCUUUUCACCCCCAAACCGGUGGUCAAUCCGAGCGGAUAAUUCAGAUACUUGAGGAUAUGUUGAGAUGUUGCAUCCUCGAGUUCAGUAGUUCAUGGGAACGGUAUUUACCUUUGAUUGAAUUCGCUUACAACAAUAGUUUUCAAUCAAGUAUUAAGAUGGCACCUUACGAGGCUUUGUACGGUCGUAAAUGCCGUACACCAUUGUUUUGGACCGAGCUCGGUGAAAGUAAAAUUUUCGGAGUUGAUGUGAUUAAAGAUGCCGAACAGAAAGUAAAGGUAAUCCGUGAAAGUCUGAAGGUAGCCACAGAUCGUCAGAAAUCGUAUGCGGAUUUGAAACGAAAGGACAUUGAAUAUCAGGUGGGAGAUAAAGUGUUCCUUAAAGUUUCGCCUUGGAAAAAGGUACUCAGAUUUGGCCGUAAGGGCAAGUUGAGCCCGAGAUUCAUUGGGCCGUACGAAAUCUCCGAACGAGUUGGUCCGGUUGCGUAUAGAUUGAUUUUGCCCCCUGAACUUGAAAAGAUUCACGAUGUCUUUCAUGUUUCGAUGCUUCGAUGUUAUAGAUCCGAUCCGUCACAUGUGAUUAAUCCCUCAGAAGUUGAAAUUCAAUCUGACUUGAGUUAUGAAGAAGAACCGAUUCGUAUCCUAGCUCGUGAAGUGAAAGAGUUGCGAAACAAAAGGGUUCCGUUAGUUAAGGUGUUAUGGCUCAAACACGGGAUCGAGGAAGCUACUUGGGAAACCGAGAGCUCGAUGAAAGAACGAUACCCAAACCUAUUUACCGGUAAGAUUUUCGGGGACGAAAAUUUCUUAAGUGGGGGAGAGUUGUGACAGCCCAAAAUUGACCCUAGUCGGGAAGUGGUUUCGGGACCGCUAAACCGAGUCACCGAAAUGUUUGAAUGUGAUAUUUAUUGUCUAGAAUAUGUAAUUAUGAAUGUGUGAAAAUUUCAAGCUUCGAUUUAGUCGAUUGCAUGUGAAUUUAGUCAAUAGGACUUAUGUGAGACAUUUUUGAAAUGUGAUAGGUCGAAGCAUAAGGACCUAUUAGAGCAUGAAAUAAAAAGGGGGACUUGCAUGUCAAAUUCCCCCCUAACUAGUAGUGGCCGGCCAUGACAAGCAUGGUAGACCAAGUGUGAUGGGCAAGACAUGUCAUAGACAUGUUGUGUUGGUGCAUCAUGGGUGGAAAAAAAUAAAAUAAGGAGCAUGGGCAUAAAAUAAUGAAAGGGAAUAUGAU
RNAcentral lists this long non-coding RNA (8292 nucleotides) under Gossypium barbadense (sea-island cotton). RNAcentral describes it as "long non-coding RNA (GBAR_LNC011605)". Lineage: Eukaryota; Viridiplantae; Streptophyta; Magnoliopsida; Malvales; Malvaceae. The record is from RNAcentral.